AUUGAACGCUGGCGGCAUGAUUUACACAUGCAAGUCGAACGGUAACAGGCCGCAAGGUGCUGACGAGUGGCGAACGGGUGAGUAAUGCAUCGGAACGUGCCCAGUCGUGGGGGAUAACUACUCGAAAGAGUAGCUAGUACCGCAUACGAUCUAUGGAUGAAAGCGGGGGACCGUAAGGCCUCGCGUGAUUGGAGCGGCCGAUGUCAGAUUAGGUAGUUGGUGGGGUAAAGGCUCACCAAGCCAACGAUCUGUAGCUGGUCUGAGAGGACGACCAGCCACACUGGGACUGAGACACGGCCCAGACUCCUACGGGAGGCAGCAGUGGGGAAUUUUGGACAAUGGGCGCAAGCCUGAUCCAGCAAUGCCGCGUGCAGGAAGAAGGCCUUCGGGUUGUAAACUGCUUUUGUACGGAACGAAACGGCUCUGGUUAAUACCCGGGGCUAAUGACGGUACCGUAAGAAUAAGCACCGGCUAACUACGUG
RNAcentral lists this ribosomal RNA (482 nucleotides) under uncultured bacterium. RNAcentral's name for it is "partial 16S ribosomal RNA". It matches the Rfam family "Bacterial small subunit ribosomal RNA", at positions 30 to 507 of the family's 1533-position model. The record is from RNAcentral.